This 497-nucleotide ribosomal RNA is filed under the name uncultured bacterium. Its description in RNAcentral is "partial 16S ribosomal RNA". It matches the Rfam family "Bacterial small subunit ribosomal RNA", at positions 28 to 507 of the family's 1533-position model. The record is from RNAcentral.
GACGAACGCUGGCGGCGUGCCUAAUACAUGCAAGUAGAACGCUGAAGAGAGGAGCUUACUCUUCUUGGGUGAGUUGCGGACGGGUGAGUAACGCGUAGGUAACCUGCCUUUUAGCGGGGGAUAACUAUUGGAAACGAUAGCUAAUACCGCAUAACAAUUUAUAACACAUGUCAUAUAUGUGAAAGGGGCUAUUGCUCCACUACAAGAUGGACCUGCGGUGUAUUUGCUUGUAUGUGAGGUAAUGGCUCAACUAGGCGACGAUACAUAGCCGAACUGAGAGGGUGGUCGGCCAACCUGGGAAUGAGACACGGCCCCGAACCCUACGGGAGGCAGCCGUAGGGGAUUCUCGGGCAAGGGGGCAACCCUGAACGGGGCACGCCGGGUGAGUGAAGGAGGUUUUCGGGUCGUUAAGCUCUGUUGUAAGUCAAGAAAGAAAGUGAGAGUGAACAGUUCACACUGUGACGGUAGCUAAUCAGAAAGGCACGGCUAACUACGUG